UUGAACGCUGGCGGCACGCCUUACACAUGCAAGUCGAACGGUAGAGGGGCAACCCUUGAGAGUGGCGAACGGGUGAGUAAUAUAUCGGAACGUGCCCAGUCGUGGGGGAUAACGCAGCGAAAGCUGCGCUAAUACCGCAUACGAUCUAUGGAUGAAAGCGGGGGAUCGCAAGACCUCGCGCGAUUGGAGCGGCCGAUAUCAGAUUAGGUAGUUGGUGGGGUAAAAGCCCACCAAGCCGACGAUCUGUAGCUG
RNAcentral lists this ribosomal RNA (252 nucleotides) under uncultured bacterium. RNAcentral describes it as "partial 16S ribosomal RNA". It matches the Rfam family "Bacterial small subunit ribosomal RNA", at positions 30 to 289 of the family's 1533-position model. The record is from RNAcentral.